This 75-nucleotide transfer RNA is filed under the name Planctomycetaceae bacterium. RNAcentral's name for it is "tRNA-Pro". It matches the Rfam family "tRNA". From Rfam's summary of the family: Transfer RNA (tRNA) molecules are approximately 80 nucleotides in length. Lineage: Bacteria; Pseudomonadati; Planctomycetota; Planctomycetia; Planctomycetales; Planctomycetaceae. RNAcentral also lists the same sequence under 2 other names. The record is from RNAcentral.
CGGGGCGUAGCUCAGCCUGGCUAGAGCGCUGCGUUCGGGACGCAGAGGUCGCUAGUUCAAAUCUAGUCGCCCCGA